GCUUUCGUGGUGCAGUAGUCAGCACGCUCGACGCGUAACCGAGAGGUCCAUGGUUAGAUUCCCGGCGAAGGCG
Stegodyphus mimosarum is the source of this 73-nucleotide non-coding RNA. NCBI's taxonomy places the organism in Eukaryota, Metazoa, Arthropoda, Arachnida, Araneae, Eresidae. The record is from Rfam.